This 2072-nucleotide ribosomal RNA is filed under the name Nemoscolus sandersi. RNAcentral describes it as "Nemoscolus sp. 1 RJK-2020 partial large subunit ribosomal RNA". The record is from RNAcentral. Lineage: Eukaryota; Metazoa; Arthropoda; Arachnida; Araneae; Araneidae.
GAUUCCUGAGUAACGGCGAGCGAAAAGGGAAGAGCCCAGCGCCGAAGCCCGCUCUCGAGAGGGAGCCGGGCAAUGUGGCGUUUAGGAGUGAGCGUGCCGGCGGUCGACUCUGCAGCAAGUCCCCCUGACAGGGGCUGUUACCCAGAGUGGGUGCGAGGCCCAUAGCUGCUAGGUCUCCGUCGGAUGCGAUCUCCUUGGAGUCGGGUUGCUUGGGAGUGCAGCCCUAAUCGGGUGGUAAACUCCACCUAAGGCUAAAUACCGCCGUGAGACCGAUAGCAAACAAGUACCGUGAGGGAAAGUUGCAAAGAACUUUGAAGAGAGAGUUCAAGAGUACGUGAAACUGCUCAGAGGCAAACGGGUGGGNCCCUCGNAAAUCCUGUGGCGGGAGGANUUCAGUUCUGCCGGGCGGACUUUCGGUCNGGAGAUUCGAAAAGUGCGGNUUCCGNCGGAGGCGGCCCGCUCCGACUGANGAGAUUCGCACGGUCGAACGCAUUUGUUUCCCGCCCGNAAGGACCCCGCAACCGGUUCGGANAACGGCCUUAAGGGCGAGCGACGGCAGUUGGCCGGUGGACCGCGCACGCGGUUCGUCGGCUGUUAGCCGGCUCGUCGCACGGCUCGUGGCCGGACCGUGGUGUCGCAAGGCCCNUCUUGGGCCCUUUUCACCUCCNUCCGUUCGCGGAACGCCGAGUCGANGAGCGGCAGGGGUUCGCACUUCUGCGGGNCGCACGGACUGACUCCGUNNCCUGCGGUCGCGAUGNGNCCUCGUUGGCUGCUCCGAGCUCGUCGGAGGUUCACGGACCAAGGAGUCUAACAUGUGUGCGAGUCAAUGGGUCUCGAAUAAGCCCAGAGGCGCAAUGAAAGCAAAGGUCGGACUCGACGCCGACUGUGUUGGGAUCCUCCCUCCUUCGCGGGGGAGGCGCACCAACGACCCGUCCUUUUCCAUUUAUGGAUUGGGCGGAGUUUGAGCAUACACGUUGGGACCCGAAAGAUGGUGAACUAUGCCCGGGCAGGACGAGGCCAGAGGAAACUCUGGUGGAGGUCCGCAGCGNUUCUGACGUGCAAAUCGAUCGUCAGACCCGGGUAUAGGGGCAGGAUAGCUGGCGCUCGGAGAACUCAGUCUCAUCCGGUAAAGCGAAUGAUUAGAGGCCUUGGGGCCGAAACGACCUCAACCUAUUCUCAAACUUUAAAUGGGUGAGUAGUCCGCCUUGCAUGACUGAAGGCCGGACGCAUGGAUGAGAGUGCCCAGUGGGCCACUUUUUGGUAAGCAGAACUGGCGCUGUGGGAUGAACCAAACGUCGGGUUACGGCAUCCGAUGCGAGACGCUCAUGAGACCCCAUGAAAGGUGUUGGUUGCUCCAGACAGCAGGACGGUGGUCAUGGAAGUCGAAAUCCGCUAAGGAGUGUGUAACAACUCACCUGCCGAAGCAACUAGCCCUGAAAAUGGACGAUGCUUCAGCGUCGAGCCCAUACCCGACCGCCACCCGAGAGGUCCCUCYCAUGAGAGGAUUAGCGGGUGGUGAGUAGGAGGGUCGCGGUGGCGAGCGUCGAAGGUGCCGGGCGUGAGCCCGCCUGGAGCCGCCACCGGUGCAGAUCUUGGUGGUAGUAGCAAAUACUCAAGUGAGAACCUUGAGGACUGAAGUUGGAGAAGGGUUCCAUGUGAACAGCAGUUGAACAUGGGUCAGUCGGCCCUAAGGGAUCGGAGAAAUCCGUUCCGAAGCGAGACCUUGAGAAUUUAGCAUCUGCAUGACCGCAGAAGUGUGAGUUCGUCUCGCUGCCGACCGAAAGGGAAUGGGGUCAAUAUUCCCCAACCCGGACACGGAGAUAGACCCCUCGGGGUCAAGUGCGGUAACGCAACCGAACUCGGAGACGUCGACGGAGGACCCGGGGAAGAGUUGUCUUUUCUUUGUAAGGGUUCGUGUCCCUGGAAUCGGCUCGUCCGGAGAUAGGGACGCUGUUCCCGUAAAAGCACCGCGGCUCUUGCGGUGUCCGGUGCGCCUCUGUCGGCCCUUGCAAAUCCGAGGGAGAGAGUGUGAUUUUCGUGCCGGUCCGUACCCAUAUCCGCAGCAGGUCUCC